UACUUAAUAAGCAAGACCCAGCGCACUCUGACCUGAAGAAUGUUGGGGUUUACAUACUCGCUCCAUUACUUGUUGUGUUCCUCCUUGCUUGCAUAAUUGUUGGAUUCAUCAUAUACAAGAGGCAGCAGCAACAACCUCUUAUUGGUGCGCAAGAGUCGCCUACACAACCUGAAGAGAGGAGAUCCCGCUGGAACAGAUUUUCAAGGCGAUUUACGAGAUCUGAAGGAAGAGCAGCUUGGAAUAACCAGGCAAACAGGAGUGAUAUCAG
This is a long non-coding RNA of Danio aesculapii, 268 nucleotides long. RefSeq lists it as uncharacterized. The transcript has 4 exons. The record is from RefSeq and is a predicted model, not a curated record. Lineage: Eukaryota; Metazoa; Chordata; Actinopteri; Cypriniformes; Danionidae.